UUAAUUUACUAUUAAAUAACUUUAUCUAAAACUAAAAAGUUCUUUUCUAAUCUGCUAUUAUAUUAUUUAAAAAUAGAAACUUUGGCUGAUUAUUUGUUGAGUUAUACUACUAUCUCAUUUUUUGCUAGAGGCGUGUAGCGGACAUUUUGAGAAAUGCCUGCAGAAUGACAACCCGUUUAUUAGAAAUGGCUAGCGCCUGCAGAAUAAUAAUCAAGCAUCUAGAUACAAGGUACAAUCUAAGAGAAAGGAGCAGCAGCAAAAUUGUAAGGUCGUAUCAUAAAUUUACAUAAAUUUUCUAAUUUCUGAUUUGUUUUAUUUUAAGUUUACAAUGGCACUUUAUGAACAGACCUUGGUACCUAAGGUAAGGAAAAAUAUAAUAUAAAAUAUAACAGAUAUAAGUAUAACGUGUCACUAGUCUCCUAUAGUGUAUAUAAUAUAAAUUAUUGUAUAUAUAAUAAAUUAUUUUAUAUUACAAG
Molecule: long non-coding RNA, 476 nt
Organism: Ooceraea biroi (clonal raider ant)
Lineage: Eukaryota; Metazoa; Arthropoda; Insecta; Hymenoptera; Formicidae
Source: RefSeq, a predicted model, not a curated record